CGCUUCCUCCCCGCCGCCUGUCCCGGCGGCUCUAGCCCCGAGCCCAGGGGCUCCCGCAGCCCUCCGUGAUCCGCCCGCUCCGCUCCGGCCCUCUUCUCAGGGGCCCUGGCGCCCCCCCGCAGGGUCCGCGGUGGCAAUGGAGCGCGCGGCUGGUCCUCUCCGAAAUGCCUUCUCGGGUCGGGUUCUCGAAGGCAAAGCCCCGGGGGCCCCCCUCGACUAUGGCGUGCUGGGCCACGGUCCGCGCGCCGAGCCCGGGGCGCCGUGGGGGGAUCAUGCGGGGGCCCCUCAUCCGGCCCCGGUGCCGCCGCGGUGCCCAGGGGGCGCGUUCCUGCCUGCCACCCCCCACCCAGAGGAGCGGCGCACCCUUGGGGUUCACCCCGAACCUGCCGGCUCCGCGCUCGCGGCGCCUGGACAGCCCCGGGACUCUGCCAGGUGGAUGUUGUGCGUAGCCGGAGCCAAGUUGAAGGAGGGAAGCAAAUCAACUCCAGAUGCAGCCUCGAAUGAAAUGAAGCGGAUUGGAUUAAAACCUAUAUAAAUGGAGUCUGACAACUUUAAUUGUAUAUGCUUGUUUUCUGUUCCUGCCUACGUGAGGACGAUAAAGCAGACUCAUAGUCGUUAUGAAAUGUCUUGAAAUUUCUCGCUUAACUAGGAAGAGGACUAUGUGAAAUAUGUAUUUCCGAUAAGAUUAAAACUUAAAGGAGUUUGAGUAUUUAUUGACUAAAAUAGAUUACUCCAAAGUGUCUAUUGUGUAAAUUAGAUUCCUGAAUGUAAUGAACACAGCCGAAUGGCAUUUUUGAUAAAUUGGUCUACCCUGUUUUAGUAAAAAUAGCUCCCUUUUACCAUAAUUUAAUUCCUGUGUUUACUGUAAAACCCGUUGUGGAGUUUUGAAGGACAAACCUUAAUUUUUUUCCCUUGUCUUCCUAAAUGGACAUUUAGCCGAACAUCAGUGAGGUUUAUUUUUUAAGCAUCUUGGCAAAACUCCAUGGGAGAUGGAUUUGGUUUCCAGAGAGGUAUUAGAUUUUAUGAACUCUUUGACACCCCAAAUCGGCUGGUGAUUAGCUGCUUCAGGAUAUCAUGAGGAUGUUUAACUGUAACUGCAGGAUUGGGUUGGAAGUUUCCUUGUCAGUUUACGUGAAUGAACUUUAAGGUAUUGGUCUUGAAAAAGCAGAUUAUGGGAGCGAGCAUCACUAUCAUUCUCUGUACGGAGCAUCCAUUGACUUUGGGUGGUAGAUAAAGAUUUGGCCUUAGAUGAUUUCCUGUUGCCACUCCAUCGCAGGUCUGAGAACCUUCAUUUGGCUAUGGAAUGCCAGAGUUCAAGUAUAAGGCUAAACUGGUUCUUUCUCUGGGCCCUGAAGAGGCCUUUUGAGUUGGUAUCCAGUUUAACGUCAUCUCUGUUCCCACAGAGUAAGUGAGCCAAUGAGACUGCAGUUUGAGAAGAGAGAAUUCAUUAGUUUCAGACUCUUCUCGUCUUUCCAGAGCCCCUGACCCAGAGAUCGGGUUGCCUGCAGAGCCCCGUAUGGGCUGUGGCGCUGCCACCUGAGGGUAGAGACUAGACUCAGAUCCAGGUUGGAGACUUCUGCGGGUCUGCUGGAGACCAGACAGUUGAGCCCCUCCCAUGCCUCUGCUGUGCCCCAGUGAGCCGGGCCUGAGUUCUUGUCCCUCUGCUUGGUCUUGAAGCUGCAUUGGGAUGUGGACUGAGUGCCCAGGAAGAGAGCUUCUGAAGAUUGAGCUCUAUUUCGUUUCCUUUUUAGUCCCAAAGGCUUGUGGUAUGGAAGUGUCAGUGCUUUGGUGUUGCUAAGACUAGUUGGACAAGUUUUUUAUCCUAUCCCAGACUUGUAAAAACCAGGCUUUUUUUUUUUUUUGGGUAACAAGAAAAACACCAUUGUAUAAAUUUGCCUUUUAAAUACAUGUUUGAAAAGAGGACACUUUCUAAAACAAGCUCAUGUAACUGUGUGUGAGCGAAGCUUUUGGGGACGGGGCCUGCCAGUGACUGGCUUCCCAUGGGGGCGUUAGUCCUACGUGAUGACUGGUGCUCCCCUUUAAGGAGUCUCCCCAAAAGUAACCUUGAAACGUUUUUCCUUUUUCAAAAUCAGAAAAUAAUUCCAGGUUUGUCGAAAGUCUGUUUCUCUGAUGGGUUUUAAUUUGCGUUUUCCUGUUAUGGCAGUGUUCCCCAGAAGUAUAUUAUCUUGAUUACAAUACGUAUCCCAUUCAGUACCCUUUAGAAACUACCGAGGAAACAUCAUCAAGGAGUUCUACACAGCUGCUGUCUUUGUUUUCUUGGUUCUUUUAAUAUCGGUGUCUUUGAGAUUGGGUGUGGGAGGGGGUCGUUGUCAGUGGAUUAAAGGUUUUUUCCCUCUCUGUGAAA
Molecule: non-coding RNA, 2365 nt
Organism: Leptonychotes weddellii (Weddell seal)
Lineage: Eukaryota; Metazoa; Chordata; Mammalia; Carnivora; Phocidae
Source: RefSeq, a predicted model, not a curated record